This 1408-nucleotide ribosomal RNA is filed under the name Salmonella enterica subsp. enterica serovar Thompson. RNAcentral describes it as "bacterial SSU rRNA". It matches the Rfam family "Bacterial small subunit ribosomal RNA". The record is from RNAcentral. Lineage: Bacteria; Pseudomonadati; Pseudomonadota; Gammaproteobacteria; Enterobacterales; Enterobacteriaceae.
GUAAUGUCUGGGAAACUGCCUGAUGGAGGGGGAUAACUACUGGAAACGGUGGCUAAUACCGCAUAACGUCGCAAGACCAAAGAGGGGGACCUUCGGGCCUCUUGCCAUCAGAUGUGCCCAGAUGGGAUUAGCUUGUUGGUGAGGUAACGGCUCACCAAGGCGACGAUCCCUAGCUGGUCUGAGAGGAUGACCAGCCACACUGGAACUGAGACACGGUCCAGACUCCUACGGGAGGCAGCAGUGGGGAAUAUUGCACAAUGGGCGCAAGCCUGAUGCAGCCAUGCCGCGUGUAUGAAGAAGGCCUUCGGGUUGUAAAGUACUUUCAGCGGGGAGGAAGGGAGUAAGGUUAAUAACCUUAUUCAUUGACGUUACCCGCAGAAGAAGCACCGGCUAACUCCGUGCCAGCAGCCGCGGUAAUACGGAGGGUGCAAGCGUUAAUCGGAAUUACUGGGCGUAAAGCGCACGCAGGCGGUCUGUCAAGUCGGAUGUGAAAUCCCCGGGCUCAACCUGGGAACUGCAUUCGAAACUGGCAGGCUUGAGUCUUGUAGAGGGGGGUAGAAUUCCAGGUGUAGCGGUGAAAUGCGUAGAGAUCUGGAGGAAUACCGGUGGCGAAGGCGGCCCCCUGGACAAAGACUGACGCUCAGGUGCGAAAGCGUGGGGAGCAAACAGGAUUAGAUACCCUGGUAGUCCACGCCGUAAACGAUGUCUACUUGGAGGUUGUGCCCUUGAGGCGUGGCUUCCGGAGCUAACGCGUUAAGUAGACCGCCUGGGGAGUACGGCCGCAAGGUUAAAACUCAAAUGAAUUGACGGGGGCCCGCACAAGCGGUGGAGCAUGUGGUUUAAUUCGAUGCAACGCGAAGAACCUUACCUGGUCUUGACAUCCACAGAACUUUCCAGAGAUGGAUUGGUGCCUUCGGGAACUGUGAGACAGGUGCUGCAUGGCUGUCGUCAGCUCGUGUUGUGAAAUGUUGGGUUAAGUCCCGCAACGAGCGCAACCCUUAUCCUUUGUUGCCAGCGGUCCGGCCGGGAACUCAAAGGAGACUGCCAGUGAUAAACUGGAGGAAGGUGGGGAUGACGUCAAGUCAUCAUGGCCCUUACGACCAGGGCUACACACGUGCUACAAUGGCGCAUACAAAGAGAAGCGACCUCGCGAGAGCAAGCGGACCUCAUAAAGUGCGUCGUAGUCCGGAUUGGAGUCUGCAACUCGACUCCAUGAAGUCGGAAUCGCUAGUAAUCGUGGAUCAGAAUGCCACGGUGAAUACGUUCCCGGGCCUUGUACACACCGCCCGUCACACCAUGGGAGUGGGUUGCAAAAGAAGUAGGUAGCUUAACCUUCGGGAGGGCGCUUACCACUUUGUGAUUCAUGACUGGGGUGAAGUCGUAACAAGGUAACCGUAGGGGAACCUGC